CCUACGGGUGGCAGCAGUGGGGAAUAUUGCACACUGGGGGGAACCCUGAUGCAGCGACGCCGCGUGGGUGAAGGAGUAUUUCGGUAUGUAAAGCCCUAUCAGCAGGGAAGAACAAUGACGGUACCUGACUAAGAAGCACCGGCUAAAUACGUGCCAGCAGCCGCGGUAAUACGUAUGGUGCAAGCGUUAUCCGGAUUUAUUGGGGUUAAAGGGUGCGCAGGCGGAAGAUCAAGUCAGCGGUAAAAUUGAGAGGCUAAACCUCUUCGAGCCGUUGAAACUGGUUUUCUUGAGUGAGUGAGAAGUAUGCGGAAUGCGUGGUGUAGCGGUGAAAUGCAUAGAUAUCACGCAGAACUCCGAUUGCGAAGGAAGCAUACCGGCGCUCAACUGACGCUCAUGCACGAAAGUGUGGGUAUCGAACAGGAUUAGAUACCCCUGUAGUC
RNAcentral lists this ribosomal RNA (440 nucleotides) under uncultured bacterium. RNAcentral describes it as "partial 16S ribosomal RNA". It matches the Rfam family "Bacterial small subunit ribosomal RNA", at positions 338 to 795 of the family's 1533-position model. The record is from RNAcentral.